CGUAUCGAUGAAAAACGCAGCAAACUGCGUUAUUUACCACGAAUUGCAGACGCUUUGAGUGGUGAAAUUUUGAACGCACAGCGCCGUUGGGGUUACUCCCUUCGGCACGUCUGGCUCAGGGUUGCUUAUGUACUGCCAAAAUGCUUGAUUUGGU
This 154-nucleotide ribosomal RNA is filed under the name Litoditis marina. RNAcentral's name for it is "5.8S ribosomal RNA". The stretch from base 1 to 124 matches the Rfam family "5.8S ribosomal RNA", at positions 29 to 154 of the family's 154-position model. From Rfam's summary of the family: 5.8S ribosomal RNA (5.8S rRNA) is a component of the large subunit of the eukaryotic ribosome. It is transcribed by RNA polymerase I as part of the 45S precursor that also contains 18S and 28S rRNA. Lineage: Eukaryota; Metazoa; Nematoda; Chromadorea; Rhabditida; Rhabditidae. The record is from RNAcentral.